AUUGAACGCUGGCGGCAGGCUUAACACAUGCAAGUCGAGCGGAAACGAUGGUAGCUUGCUACCAGGCGUCGAGCGGCGGACGGGUGAGUAAUACUUAGGAAUCUACCUAGUAGUGGGGGAUAGCACGGGGAAACUCGUAUUAAUACCGCAUACGACCUACGGGAGAAAGGGGGCAGUUUACUGCUCUCGCUAUUAGAUGAGCCUAAGUCGGAUUAGCUAGAUGGUGGGGUAAAGGCCUACCAUGGCGACGAUCUGUAGCUGGUCUGAGAGGAUGAUCAGCCACACCGGGACUGAGACACGGCCCGGACUCCUACGGGAGGCAGCAGUGGGGAAUAUUGGACAAUGGGGGAAACCCUGAUCCAGCCAUGCCGCGUGUGUGAAGAAGGCCUUUUGGUUGUAAAGCACUUUAAGCAGUGAAGAAGACUCCGUGGUUAAUACCCACGGACGAUGACAUUAGCUGCAGAAUAAGCACCGGCUAACUCUGUGCCAGCAGCCGCGGUAAUACAGAGGGUGCAAGCGUUAAUCGGAAUUACUGGGCGUAAAGCGAGCGUAGGUGGCUUGAUAAGUCAGAUGUGAAAUCCCCGGGCUUAACCUGGGAACUGCAUCUGAAACUGUUAGGCUAGAGUAGGUGAGAGGGAAGUAGAAUUUCAGGUGUAGCGGUGAAAUGCGUAGAGAUCUGAAGGAAUACCGAUGGCGAAGGCAGCUUCCUGGCAUCAUACUGACACUGAGGCUCGAAAGCGUGGGUAGCAAACAG
RNAcentral lists this ribosomal RNA (754 nucleotides) under uncultured bacterium. RNAcentral's name for it is "bacterial SSU rRNA". It matches the Rfam family "Bacterial small subunit ribosomal RNA", at positions 28 to 775 of the family's 1533-position model. The record is from RNAcentral.